ACCCGGGUGGUGAAAUGGUAGACACGCAAGACUUAAAAUCUUGUGACUGCAAGGUCGUGCGGGUUCAAGUCCCGCUCCGGGUA
RNAcentral lists this transfer RNA (83 nucleotides) under Saprospiraceae bacterium. Its description in RNAcentral is "tRNA-Leu". It matches the Rfam family "tRNA". From Rfam's summary of the family: Transfer RNA (tRNA) molecules are approximately 80 nucleotides in length. Their secondary structure includes four short double-helical elements and three loops (D, anti-codon, and T loops). Further hydrogen bonds mediate the characteristic L-shaped molecular structure. tRNAs have two regions of fundamental functional importance: the anti-codon, which is responsible for specific mRNA codon recognition, and the 3' end, to which the tRNAs corresponding amino acid is attached (by aminoacyl-tRNA synthetases). tRNAs cope with the degeneracy of the genetic code in two manners: having more than one tRNA (with a specific anti-codon) for a particular amino acid; and 'wobble' base-pairing, i.e. permitting non-standard base-pairing at the 3rd anti-codon position. Lineage: Bacteria; Pseudomonadati; Bacteroidota; Saprospiria; Saprospirales; Saprospiraceae. The record is from RNAcentral. RNAcentral also lists the same sequence under 1 other name.